Molecule: non-coding RNA, 84 nt
Organism: Mycena metata
Lineage: Eukaryota; Fungi; Basidiomycota; Agaricomycetes; Agaricales; Mycenaceae
Source: the annotation of a GenBank genome assembly
GAUCUGAUAGCACAACGGUUAGUGCCUAUACUUGACUUAGGUAGCGUAAAGUAGACGAUCUCUGUUCGAUUCGGGGUCAGGUCG